This 1565-nucleotide long non-coding RNA is filed under the name Anneissia japonica. Its description in RNAcentral is "uncharacterized LOC117116363". The record is from RNAcentral. Lineage: Eukaryota; Metazoa; Echinodermata; Crinoidea; Comatulida; Comatulidae.
CGGGGGUUGAAUAGGGGCAUUCACAUGUGUCCUUGGAUGUCUCCAGAAGUACAUAGGAGCCGGUACCUAGACGAAAGCUGGUUCAUCUACAAUCAAUUGAUUGUAUUAUUGAUAGUUGAAAACUCGCUGUUCUAAAUACAAAGUUGCAAAUCGAAUCAUGAUUGGUAAUGAUUGCAGUUAUAAUAUCCCUAAUACUACACUUCGUAUACACAGUACGAUACACUUGUUUUAGAUUUUCAAAGAAUCGAGAUGUUUACGUAGACAAUAUGAAACGUGACUGAAGAUGCAAAAUUUUUGGAAAUAGAACAAAACCAAGUUCAAGAACAUAUACUUCCUUCUCACAUGUUACAAAUUUGUCUGGAAAAUCAACUAAUCUUUCAUUCGCUUGCAGAACAUUGCUAACAUUAAGAACUACAUGCGUCAAUAUCAAUACGCCCCCAAAGUUCUCAUUCGAGAUAAGUUGAUCUGACCUCUAAAGAAUUGGAAAGCCUCGUUGGAUUUUCUGUUCGUUUUUCAACACAAUGUGAGUAAACCAGGCCUGUGUCUUCGAUGUACUCAAGUCUGUUUCCUACAAUCAGAGGUUUUUUGAACGUCAAGUCAAGCCACAGUCUCUUGAGAAACCUGAAGAACACUUCACACGCUUGUUACCACCAUGACUAAACCAACGAACGCCAGAAAAUCUAGUCAUUCUGUUUCCUGUUGUUGCGAACAAGCGUAGUGAAGAUGGCAAAGGUUGUCGAACACAGGUCCCAAGCCUCUUCAGCAAUUACUCUGGUCGCCACUUUAAUUUGAAUAGUGGUGUUACAUUGCUAUUGGUGUAGCGCUACCUCAUCACAUUAUCAACGAGCAAUUAAUGGUUUCCACUUGUUGAUAAACGCAUUAAACAAAUUUUCUCGGAAGAAACUUUCUUGUGAUGUGCUGACUUGUGAAUGAUCUUGUUAUCAUUAUCUAUCUUGGAGCGAAGCACAUGGCACGUGCUACACGUCCUGACAUCUGCCAUUGCCAACUCAACUCCAUAUUUUUCAUUACAAAGCUGUGAAAUCCACAAUUAUGUUUGCGUGAAGUUGUUACAAUUUUUUCAACUAGUGUUAGUAAUUUACGCCUACUCAAUUUUGAUGUCAAGAAUUCUUAUUCAUUGACGCAAACAACUUGAAAAUGACUAAAGAACUUUAGUAAACUUAUUAGACCUGCCAUGGUGUGUUUCAAAUUUUGUAACAAUUUGAGGUGAAUUUGAUAUUUUUCUAUAUAACCAAUAUAGUACAAUAAUAAAACCUCAUAUUUCUUAAGUUGCUUAAUUAUAUUUAGGAAUAUUUUAAAAUUACUUUUUUCAUUGAAAUAUGAUUAAAACCUGUAAUUUUCAUUUAUUGCUAGACAUGCAUUCUUCAAGAGAAUAGUUCAGCAGAUAACGCAUGAUGCAUAGGUUAGGGCAGGGGUAUACAGGUCACUAGGACCUCAUCAUACCCCAUUAUGCAUAGUUCAGUUAGGUUAAAUUGUAUUAUCUUUUUCUUAAAAGAAAAAUAUUUUUGUGAACAACAAAAAUGUACUAUUAAAUGAAUUUACUUUAA